RNAcentral lists this ribosomal RNA (307 nucleotides) under uncultured bacterium. RNAcentral's name for it is "bacterial SSU rRNA". It matches the Rfam family "Bacterial small subunit ribosomal RNA", at positions 29 to 357 of the family's 1533-position model. The record is from RNAcentral.
AACGAACGCUGGCGGCAGGCCUAACACAUGCAAGUCGAACGAGAUCUUCGGAUCUAGUGGCGGACGGGUGAGUAACACGUGGGAACGUGCCCUUCUCUACGGAAUAGUCCUGGGAAACUGGGUUUAAUACCGUAUACGCCCUUCGGGGAAAGAAUUUCGGGGAAGGAUCGGCCCGCGUUGGAUUAGGUAGUUGGUGGGGUAAUGGCCUACCAAGCCGACGAUCCAUAGCUGGUUUGAGAGGAUGGAUCGACGCCACACGUGGGACUGAGACGACCGGCCCAGACCUCCGUACGGGAGGCAGCAGGUA